This 710-nucleotide long non-coding RNA is filed under the name Cicer arietinum (chickpea). RNAcentral's name for it is "long non-coding RNA (CARI_LNC002110)". The record is from RNAcentral. Lineage: Eukaryota; Viridiplantae; Streptophyta; Magnoliopsida; Fabales; Fabaceae.
AAAUGCAAGCAAAACUCAAAAUAAAGCUAAUAUUAACAAUACUCAAGUAAUUCACCACAAUCAGUAAUUAUUCAUUUUCUACCAAGCUAAGCUAAGUUAAACACAUCAAAAUUGUUCAGAUAUUUAUUCAUCACAUAAAAAAAGGUGAGGUGAAGUGGUGUUGUCAUUUCAUACUAAGUAAUUAGCAGAGAGACAGAGAGAGGUAUACUAGUUUUAGUUAUAGUGUUUUACUGUUUUGUACUUGCAACCUCCUCUUUUAUUCAUCGGAUGGGUACCCUAAAAGGGACAAAAAUAACAUCACUUGUUUCUUUCAAGCUAGGCUGUGAUUGCGAAUGAAAAGAAAAUGAAAGAGAAGUGAUCCUCACCAUAUUUUGUGUGGAUAGAAGGACUAGGAAACAAAAAAGAUAUUACAAGAAGAUUCUUAUCGAAUUUGUUCUACUAUAAUCAAGAUGAACUUUGCGGUCCCAUAUUUUUUUGUCUGUGAUUUUCCAAAUAGUGUUUUCCUUUUAUAACCCCAAACACGUAAGAGCUAUGAUUGCAAACCAAAGUUGUCUGCAUGGUUUGAAUUAUGAAGAGAGGUUGAAGGAUAUUUGAUUUGAUUAGUAUGGAUCACAGAGCUUCCCUCAUCCAAGUAAUUGUUAGAGAACUUUGUUGUCCCGUAUUUCCCUUGCCAAUGCAAUAAAGUCAAUUAUUGAAAGACCAAAUAGUAG